Molecule: ribosomal RNA, 787 nt
Filed under: uncultured Alphaproteobacteria bacterium
Lineage: Bacteria; Pseudomonadati; Pseudomonadota; Alphaproteobacteria
Description: bacterial SSU rRNA
Rfam family: Bacterial small subunit ribosomal RNA
Source: RNAcentral
AGGGUUUGAUCUGGGCUCAGAACGAACGCUGGCGGCAGGCCUAACACAUGCAAGUCGAGCGCACCUUCGGGUGAGCGGCGGACGGGUGAGUAACGCGUGGGAAUAUGCCCUUCACUACGGAAUAGCCUCGGGAAACUGAGAGUAAUACCGUAUACGCCCUUCGGGGGAAAGAUUUAUCGGUGAAGGAUUAGCCCGCGUUGGAUUAGGUAGUUGGUGGGGUAAAAGCCCACCAAGCCGACGAUCCAUAGCUGGUUUGAGAGGAUGAUCAGCCACACUGGGACUGAGACACGGCCCUGACUCCUACGGGAGGCAGCAGUGGGGAAUCUUAGACAAUGGGGGAAACCCUGAUCUAGCCAUGCCGCGUGAGUGACGAAGGCCUUAGGGUCGUAAAGCUCUUUCGCCAGGGAAGAUAAUGACGGUACCUGGUAAAGAAACCCCGGCUAACUCCGUGCCAGCAGCCGCGGUAAUACGGAGGGGGUUAGCGUUGUUCGGAAUUACUGGGCGUAAAGCGCACGUAGGCGGAUUAUUAAGUUAGGGGUGAAAUCCCAGGGCUCAACCCUGGAACUGCCUCUAAUACUGGUAGUCUUGAGUUCGAGAGAGGUGAGUGGAAUUCCGAGUGUAGAGGUGAAAUUCGUAGAUAUUCGGAGGAACACCAGUGGCGAAGGCGGCUCACUGGCUCGAUACUGACGCUGAGGUGCGAAAGCGUGGGGAGCAACAGGAUUAGAUACCCUGGUAGUCCACGCCGUAAACGAUGAAUGCCAGACGUCGGGCAGUAUACUGUUCGGUG